RNAcentral lists this ribosomal RNA (253 nucleotides) under uncultured bacterium. RNAcentral's name for it is "partial 16S ribosomal RNA". It matches the Rfam family "Bacterial small subunit ribosomal RNA", at positions 524 to 776 of the family's 1533-position model. The record is from RNAcentral.
GACGAACCGUGCGAACGUUGUUCGGAAUCACUGGGCUUAAAGGGCGCGUAGGCGGAUUGCCGCGUCCGGGGUGAAAUCCCACGGCUCAACCGUGGAACGGCCUCGGAUACGGGCGAUCUCGAGGGGGGUAGGGGCAUCUGGAACUGUGAGUGGAGCGGUGAAAUGCGUUGAUAUUCACAGGAACUCCGGUGGCGAAGGCGAGGUGCUGGACCCCAUCUGACGCUGAGGCGCGAAAGCCAGGGGAGCGAACGGG